UACGGGGGGGCAAGCGUUGUUCGGAAUUACUGGGCGUAAAGGGUUCGUAGGUGGCCAACUAAGUCAGACGUGAAAUCCCUCAGCUUAACUGGGGAACUGCGUCUGAUACUGGUCGGCUUGAGUGCAGGAGAGGAACGCGGAAUUCCAGGUGUAGCGGUGAAAUGCGUAGAUAUUGGGAAGAACACCGGUGGCGAAGGCGGCGAGCUGGUCCAUUACUGACGCUGAGGCGCGACAGCGUGGGGAGCAAACAGG
RNAcentral lists this ribosomal RNA (252 nucleotides) under uncultured bacterium. Its description in RNAcentral is "partial 16S ribosomal RNA". It matches the Rfam family "Bacterial small subunit ribosomal RNA", at positions 524 to 776 of the family's 1533-position model. The record is from RNAcentral.